CAAUAGCGUAUAUUUAAGUUGCUGCAGUUAAAAAGCUCGUAGUUGGAUUUCGGGUGGGAAUGGCCGGUCCGCCGUUUCGGUGUGCACUUGCUACGCCCACCUUGCUGCCGGGGACGUGCUCUUGAGUUCACGCUCGGGACACGGAGUCGGCGAGGUUACUUUGAGUAAAUUAGAGUGUUCAAAGCAGGCCUACGCUCUGAAUACAUUAGCAUGGAAUAACACGAUAGGACUCUGGCCUAUCUUGUUGGUCUGUAGGACCGGAGUAAUGAUUAAGAGGGACAGUCGGGGGCAUUCGUAUUUCAUUGUCAGAGGUGAAAUUCUUGGAUUUAUGAAAGACGAACCACUGCGAAAGCAUUUGCCAAGGAUGUUUUCAUUAA
RNAcentral lists this ribosomal RNA (377 nucleotides) under uncultured eukaryote. RNAcentral describes it as "partial 18S ribosomal RNA". It matches the Rfam family "Eukaryotic small subunit ribosomal RNA", at positions 592 to 976 of the family's 1831-position model. The record is from RNAcentral.